ACCGGAAAAGGCGGGGCCACCGGAGUGCCUAAGUGCGGCUCUCGGACGCAGCGCUUCCUUUCUCGCGCGGCCGGCGAGGGAGAAAGCAGAGUAAAGAGCCGUCGAUCAUGUUGAUGUGGCGGUGGCGGAGCCUGAGGGCCAGUCGCUGGGCUCUGCGAGGUGCAAGAAAGCCUUUGAGUUGAAGAUGUAUGAAGGUCAUCAUGACAGAUGUUUUCCAAAAACUUAAAAAAGUCUGUGAAAUAACUACUAGGAUCAUACAGCAUGUAUUGAGCAUAUAGGUUGCUGUAGAUGAAUGUUCUUCACUGUUGUAUUUAAAAAUACUUCUGCUUUGCUGCCUCAAGUGUGGCAUGCAACAUUUUGGAAAGAAAAUUGAAGACUGUCAAGAAAACAUGAACAGAAGUAAAUGAUGAAAUGAGUAUUUUAUUUGAUGUUGAUAAACAUCACAAUAAAUUAUGGAGAAAAUA
This is a non-coding RNA of Callithrix jacchus (white-tufted-ear marmoset), 464 nucleotides long. The record is from RefSeq and is a predicted model, not a curated record. Lineage: Eukaryota; Metazoa; Chordata; Mammalia; Primates; Cebidae.